RNAcentral lists this long non-coding RNA (437 nucleotides) under Dromaius novaehollandiae (emu). RNAcentral's name for it is "lncRNA (ENSDNVG00000017897.1)". Lineage: Eukaryota; Metazoa; Chordata; Aves; Casuariiformes; Dromaiidae. The record is from RNAcentral.
AAGAGCUCUCGUUGCUGAGUGGGAAGGCAGCUGGCGCUAGCCAUCAGAAAUGGCUGAAACGUCGCACUCCUGAGGGGCCUACGCAUUUGAGUUUUGUUUUGAUAGGAUGAGACUGUGGUCUUAGAGCUUGCUUGCAAACUUCAGGAAGUGUGGGGGAGCUGCUUGGACUCUGCUAGACUUGAUGGAUCUAAGACAGUAUGGAGAGAAGAGAAAUCCAAUAGAUAACUGAUAUACUUUAAAGACUGCAACGAAUUCGAUUAACAAUGGACACGACGUGAAGAGUUAAUAAUAUGAUAACCUAUUUGCAUGUGUGGGAACAGAGUAAAUGAACCUUAAGCAUUUAAAAGCAGAGAGCAAGAAGGAGGGGGGGAAGUGAAUGGAGGGUAACUUUUCUCUGCAAGUUUGUUAUACUAAACCUUCAUCAGCAGUGCAAGAUG